UACGAAGGGGGCUAGCGUUGCUCGGAAUCACUGGGCGUAAAGGGUGCGUAGGCGGUCUGUCGCGUCUGCUGUGAGAACUCGGGGCUUAACCCCGGGCCUGCAGUGGGUACGGGCGGACUAGAGGUAGGUAGGGGAGAACGGAAUUCCUGGUGUAGCGGUGGAAUGCGCAGAUAUCAGGAGGAACACCGGUGGCGAAGGCGGGUCUCUGGGCCGAUACUGACGCUGAGGAGCGAAAGCGUGGGGAGCGAACAGG
Molecule: ribosomal RNA, 253 nt
Filed under: uncultured bacterium
Lineage: Bacteria
Description: partial 16S ribosomal RNA
Rfam family: Bacterial small subunit ribosomal RNA
Source: RNAcentral